AUUGAACGCUGGCGGAAUGCUUUACACAUGCAAGUCGAACGGCAGCACGGGAGCUUGCUCCUGGUGGCGAGUGGCGAACGGGUGAGUAAUAUAUCGGAACGUAUCCAAUAAUGGGGGAUAACUAACCGAAAGGUUGGCUAAUACCGCAUACGCCCUACGGGGGAAAGCAGGGGAUCGUAAGACCUUGCGUUAAUGGAGCGGCCGAUAUCUGAUUAGCUAGUUGGUGGGGUAAAGGCCCACCAAGGCUUUGAUCAGUAGCUGGUCUGAGAGGACGACCAGCCACACUGGAACUGAGACACGGUCCAGACUCCUACGGGAGGCAGCAGUGGGGAAUUUUGGACAAUGGGGGCAACCCUGAUCCAGCCAUUCCGCGUGAGUGAAGAAGGCCUUCGGGUUGUAAAGCUCUUUCGCAAGGGAAGAAAACUUAUCUAAUAACACUAGGUGAGGCUGACGGUACCUUGAUAAGAAGCACCGGCUAACUACGUGCCAGCAGCCGCGGUAAUACGUAGGGUGCGAGCGUUAAUCGGAAUUACUGGGCGUAAAGCGUGCGCAGGCGGUUUGAAAAGUCAGAUGUGAAAUCCCCGGGCUCAACCUGGGAACUGCGUUUGAAA
RNAcentral lists this ribosomal RNA (611 nucleotides) under uncultured soil bacterium. RNAcentral describes it as "bacterial SSU rRNA". It matches the Rfam family "Bacterial small subunit ribosomal RNA", at positions 28 to 632 of the family's 1533-position model. The record is from RNAcentral.